UGGGGGAUAUUGCACAAUGGGCGAAAGCCUGAUGCAGCGACGCCGCGUGGGGGAUGAAGGCUUUCGGGUUGUAAACCUCUUUCGCUAUCGAACAAGGCCCGCUUAGGGUGGGUUGAGGGUAGGUGGAGAAGAAGCGCCGGCUAAUUACGUGCCAGCAGCCGCGGUAAUACGUAGGGCGCGAGCGUUGUCCGGAAUUAUUGGGCGUAAAGGGCUUGUAGGCGGCUUGUUGCGCCUGCUGUGAAAACGCGGGGCUUAACUUCGCGCGUGCAGUGGGUACGGGCAGGCUUGAGUGUGGUAGGGGUGACUGGAAUUCCAGGUGUAGCGGUGGAAUGCGCAGAUAUCUGGAGGAACACCGAUGGCGAAGGCAGGUCACUGGGCCAUUACUGACGCUGAGGAGCGAAAGCAUGGGUAGCGAACAGG
RNAcentral lists this ribosomal RNA (420 nucleotides) under bacterium. RNAcentral describes it as "partial 16S ribosomal RNA". It matches the Rfam family "Bacterial small subunit ribosomal RNA", at positions 355 to 776 of the family's 1533-position model. The record is from RNAcentral.